AUGCAAUGCAAAUGGAGGUUGCAAUGCAAAAGGGGGUUGCAAUGCAAUGCAAAAGGGUUUUGCAAUGCAAUGCAAUGCAAUUGGGUCUUGCAAUGCAAAGGCCUGUUGCAAUGCAAAGGGGUCUUGCAAUGCAAAAGUUUAUGGGGUUGCAAUGCAAUGGAGGAUUACAAUGCAAUGCAAAAGGGGGGCAGGUUGCAAUGCAAAAGGGUCUUGCAAUGCAAUGCAAUUGGAUUUUGCAAUGCAAUGCAAUUGGGUCUUGCAAUGCAAAAGGGUUUGGGGUUGCAAAGCAAUGGAGGAUUGCAAUGCAAUGAAGGAUUGCAAUGCAAUGCAAUUGGGUCUUGCAAUGCAAUUGGGUCUUGCAAUGCAAAAGUGCAUGGGGUUGCAAUGCAAAAGGGUUUGGGGUUGCAAUGCAAAAGGGUCUUGCAAUGCAAUGCAAUUGGGUCUUGCAAUGCAACAGGGUCUUGCAAUGCAAUGCAAAAGCGGGGCAGGUUGCAAUGCAAAAGGGGGUUGCAAUGCAAAAGUGGGUUGCAAUGCAAUGCAAUGCAAAAGGGUUUGGGGUUGCAAUGCAAUUGGGUCUUGCAAUGCAAAGGGGUCUUGCAAUGCAACAAAGGAUUGCAAUGCAAUUGGGGUUUGCAAUGCAAAAGUGCAUGGGGUUGCAAUGCAAAUUCGGGUUGCAAUGCAAAAGGGUUUGGGGUUGCAAUACAAUGCAAAAGUCUUUGGGGUUGCAAUGCAAUUGGGUCUUGCAAUGCAAUAGGGGACGGGGUUGCAAUGCAAAUUCGGGUUGCAAUGCAAAAGGGGAGGGGAUUGCAAUGCAAUGCAAUGGGGUCUUGCAAUGCAAAAGGGUUUGGUGUUGCAAUGCAAAGAUGGCUUGCAAUGCAAUGCAAUUGGGUCUUGCAAUGCAAUGCAAAAGUGCAUGGGGUUGCAAUGCCAUUGGGUCUUGCAAUGCAAAAGGGGAGGGGGUUGCAAUGCAAAGGUGGGUUGCAAUGCAAUGCAAUGGGGUCUUGCAAUGCAAUACAACAAAGGAUUGAAAUGCAAUGCAGUGCAAUUGGGGGUUGCAAUGCAAAAGUGGAUGGGGUUGCAAUGCAAAAGGGUUUGGGCGUUGAAUGCAAGGGGUCUUGCAAUACAAUGCAAAAGGGCGUCUUGCAAUGCACAUGGGUCUAUGCAAUGCCAAUGCAAAUGCAAUUGGGUUUUGCAAUGCAAUUGGAGCUUGCAAUGCAAAGGCCUGUUGCAAUGCAACAAAGGAUUGCAAUGCAACAAAGGAUUGCAAUGCAAUGCAAAAGGGUUUGGUUGCCCAAUUGGUCUUGCCAAUCAAUGGGUGUGCAAUGCAAAGGGGUCUUGCAAUGCAAUUGA
Molecule: long non-coding RNA, 1350 nt
Filed under: Coturnix japonica (Japanese quail)
Lineage: Eukaryota; Metazoa; Chordata; Aves; Galliformes; Phasianidae
Description: lncRNA (ENSCJPG00005001160.1)
Source: RNAcentral